This 669-nucleotide ribosomal RNA is filed under the name Prorocentrum micans. Its description in RNAcentral is "SSU rRNA". It matches the Rfam family "Eukaryotic small subunit ribosomal RNA", at positions 60 to 739 of the family's 1831-position model. Lineage: Eukaryota; Dinophyceae; Prorocentrales; Prorocentraceae. The record is from RNAcentral.
GAAGUCCGAGAAGGAAAAGACAGAUAAGUUUUAUACGGCGAAAUGCGAAUGGUCUUAAAACGUAUACGUUAUUUGUGGUAGUUAUACUGGUAACUGGUAAUUGUAGAGUAAUACUGCGCCAGACCCGACUCAGGAAGGGUGUGUUAUUAGAUACAGAACCACCACUUUCUGGUGUUUGGGGAUUGAUGAAAACCUCCGAACCGUUGCUUGGCGGCCAUUAAUGAUUAAAGAUUCAGACUAUGACCUUUCCGACGGCCGGGGAUUGGCCUUCCGCGGAUUGGACGGUGACGGAGAACUAAGGAUUCGAGUUCCGGAGAGGGAGCAUGGAAAACGGCAACCACAUAUAACGAAGGCAGAAGGCGCGCAAAUUACCCAAUACCGACACAGGGAGGUAGUAACAAGAAAUAACAAUUAACGGCUCCAGGCAUUGCAAUUCGGAAUGAGGAAAAUUUAAAACCUUUUACCAGUUUACAUUGGCCGGCAGGAGGGGAGCCAGCAGCCGCGGUAAUCGCCAGAUUCCAAUAGUCGCAUAUUAAAGUUUUAAGCGGUUAAAAAGCACGAAAGCGGGUUUCUGGUUUAGGGGAACCGGACCGACGUUUCCUCCUGUAGGGGGUUUUGGCCGUGCCUUCUUGACAGAAUGUGGAUACUGCGUUUGUUUGCUUGGCUGGG